RNAcentral lists this ribosomal RNA (253 nucleotides) under uncultured bacterium. RNAcentral's name for it is "partial 16S ribosomal RNA". It matches the Rfam family "Bacterial small subunit ribosomal RNA", at positions 524 to 776 of the family's 1533-position model. The record is from RNAcentral.
UACAGAGGGUGCGAGCGUUAAUCGGAAUUACUGGGCGUAAAGGGCGCGUAGGCGGUCUGUUAAGUUCGGUGUGAAAUCCCCUGGCUCAACUGGGGAACUGCGCUGGAAACUGGCAGACUCGAGUACCGGAGAGGAGAGUGGAAUUCCUGGUGUAGCGGUGAAAUGCGCAGAUAUCAGGAAGAACACCCGUGGCGAAGGCGGCUCUCUGGGACGGUACUGACGCUGAGACGCGAAAGCGUGGGGAGCGAACAGG